RNAcentral lists this ribosomal RNA (455 nucleotides) under Sandarakinorhabdus sp. wo26. RNAcentral's name for it is "bacterial SSU rRNA". It matches the Rfam family "Bacterial small subunit ribosomal RNA", at positions 388 to 859 of the family's 1533-position model. Lineage: Bacteria; Pseudomonadati; Pseudomonadota; Alphaproteobacteria; Sphingomonadales; Sphingosinicellaceae. The record is from RNAcentral.
CCAGCAAUGCCGCGUGAGUGAAGAAGGCCUUCGGGUUGUAAAGCUCUUUUACCCGGGAAGAUAAUGACCGUACCGGGAGAAUAAGCCCCGGCUUAACUCCGUGCCAGCAGCCGCGGUAAUACGGAGGGGGCUAGCGUUGUUCGGAAUCACUGGGCGUAAAGCGUGCGUAGGCGGCCAUUCAAGUCAGAGGUGAAAGCCCAGGGCUCAACCCUGGAACUGCCUUUGAAACUAGAUGGCUGGAACACGGGAGAGGUGAGUGGAAUUCCGAGUGUAGAGGUGAAAUUCGUAGAUAUUCGGAAGAACACCAGUGGCGAAGGCGGCUCACUGGACCGUUGUUGACGCUGAGGCACGAAAGCGUGGGGAGCAAACAGGAUUAGAUACCCUGGUAGUCCACGCCGUAAACGAUGAUAACUAGCUGUUGGGGCUCUUGGAGCUCCAGUGGCGCAGCUAACGCA